This 1196-nucleotide ribosomal RNA is filed under the name Chryseobacterium indoltheticum. Its description in RNAcentral is "bacterial SSU rRNA". It matches the Rfam family "Bacterial small subunit ribosomal RNA", at positions 248 to 1461 of the family's 1533-position model. The record is from RNAcentral. Lineage: Bacteria; Pseudomonadati; Bacteroidota; Flavobacteriia; Flavobacteriales; Weeksellaceae.
GUUGUAGGUAACGGCCUACCAAGUCAGGAUCUUUAGGGGCCUGAGAGGUGAUCCCCCACACUGGUACUGAGACACGGACCAGACUCCUACGGGAGGCAGCAGUGAGGAAUAUUGGACAAUGGGUGAGAGCCUGAUCCAGCCAUCCCGCGUGAAGGACGACGGCCCUAUGGGUUGUAAACUUCUUUUGUAUAGGGAUAAACCUUUCCACGUGUGGAAAGCUGAAGGUACUAUACGAAUAAGCACCGGCUAACUCCGUGCCAGCAGCCGCGGUAAUACGGAGGGUGCAAGCGUUAUCCGGAUUUAUUGGGUUUAAAGGGUCCGUAGGCGGAUCUGUAAGUCAGUGGUGAAAUCUCAUAGCUUAACUAUGAAACUGCCAUUGAUACUGCAGGUCUUGAGUAAAGUAGAAGUGGCUGGAAUAAGUAGUGUAGCGGUGAAAUGCAUAGAUAUUACUUAGAACACCAAUUGCGAAGGCAGGUCACUAUGUUUUAACUGACGCUGAUGGACGAAAGCGUGGGGAGCGAACAGGAUUAGAUACCCUGGUAGUCCACGCCGUAAACGAUGCUAACUCGUUUUUGGGCUUUCGGGUUCAGAGACUAAGCGAAAGUGAUAAGUUAGCCACCUGGGGAGUACGUUCGCAAGAAUGAAACUCAAAGGAAUUGACGGGGGCCCGCACAAGCGGUGGAUUAUGUGGUUUAAUUCGAUGAUACGCGAGGAACCUUACCAAGGCUUAAAUGGGAAUUGACAGGUUUAGAAAUAGACUUUUCUUCGGACAAUUUUCAAGGUGCUGCAUGGUUGUCGUCAGCUCGUGCCGUGAGGUGUUAGGUUAAGUCCUGCAACGAGCGCAACCCCUGUCACUAGUUGCCAUCAUUCAGUUGGGGACUCUAGUGAGACUGCCUACGCAAGUAGAGAGGAAGGUGGGGAUGACGUCAAAUCAUCACGGCCCUUACGCCUUGGGCCACACACGUAAUACAAUGGCCGGUACAGAGGGCAGCUACCAAGUGAUUGGAUGCGAAUCUCGAAAGCCGGUCUCAGUUCGGAUUGGAGUCUGCAACUCGACUCUAUGAAGCUGGAAUCGCUAGUAAUCGCGCAUCAGCCAUGGCGCGGUGAAUACGUUCCCGGGCCUUGUACACACCGCCCGUCAAGCCAUGGAAGUUUGGGGUACCUGAAGUCGGUGACCGUAACAGGAGCUGCCCUAG